This 274-nucleotide ribosomal RNA is filed under the name uncultured bacterium. RNAcentral describes it as "partial 16S ribosomal RNA". It matches the Rfam family "Bacterial small subunit ribosomal RNA", at positions 523 to 796 of the family's 1533-position model. The record is from RNAcentral.
AUACGGAGGGUGCGAGCGUUAAUCGGAAUUACUGGGCGUAAAGCGCACGUAGGCGGUUGGUUAAGUUAGAUGUGAAAGCCCCGGGCUUAACCUGGGAACUGCAUUUAAAACUGGCGAACUAGAGUUGAGUAGAGGGGAGUGGAAUUUCAGGUGUAGCGGUGAAAUGCGUAGAGAUCUGAAGGAACACCAGUGGCGAAGGCGACUCCCUGGACUCGAACUGACGCUGAGGUACGAAAGCGUGGGUAGCAAACGGGAUUAGAAACCCUAGUAGUCC